Molecule: small RNA, 79 nt
Filed under: Dunaliella tertiolecta
Lineage: Eukaryota; Viridiplantae; Chlorophyta; Chlorophyceae; Chlamydomonadales; Dunaliellaceae
Description: partial transfer-messenger RNA
Source: RNAcentral
UAAAAAUCUAUAAAAAAAUAAUUGCAGAAGAAAACGAAUCCAUAUUCUCUUGAAGGCAAAUUUGCAGAUAGGGCUGUAG